Molecule: transfer RNA, 20 nt
Filed under: Oophaga histrionica (harlequin poison frog)
Lineage: Eukaryota; Metazoa; Chordata; Amphibia; Anura; Dendrobatidae
Description: partial tRNA-Phe
Source: RNAcentral
UACACAGGUCCUCAAACACA